GAUGAACGCUGGCGGCGUGCCUAACACAUGCAAGUCGAGCGAUUCUCUUCGGAGAAGAGCGGCGGACGGGUGAGUAACGCGUGGGUAACCUGCCUCAUACACAUGGAUAACAUACCGAAAGGUAUGCUAAUACAGGAUAACAUAAGAGAUUCGCAUGGAUUUCUUAUCAAAGCUCCGGCGGUAUGAGAUGGACCCGCGUCUGAUUAGCUAGUUGGUAAGGUAAUGGCUUACCAAGGCGACGAUCAGUAGCCGACCUGAGAGGGUGAUCGGCCACAUUGGAACUGAGACACGGUCCAAACUCCUACGGGAGGCAGCAGUGGGGAAUAUUGCACAAUGGGCGAAAGCCUGAUGCAGCAACGCCGCGUGAGUGAUGAAGGCCUUCGGGUCGUAAAACUCUGUCCUCAAGGAAGAUAAUGACGGUACUUGAGGAGGAAGCCCCGGCUAACUACGUGCCAGCAGCCGCGGUAAUACGUAGGGGGCUAGCGUUAUCCGGAUUUACUGGGCGUAAAGGGUGCGUAGGUGGUUUCUUAAGUCAGGAGUGAAAGGCUACGGCUCAACCGUAGUAAGCUCUUGAAACUGGGAAACUUGAGUGCAGGAGAGGAAAGUGGAAUUCCUAGUGUAGCGGUGAAAUGCGUAGAUAUUAGGAGGAACACCAGUAGCGAAGGCGGCUUUCUGGACUGUAACUGACACUGAGGCACGAAAGCGUGGGGAGCAAACAGGAUUAGAUACCCUGGUAGUCC
RNAcentral lists this ribosomal RNA (740 nucleotides) under uncultured bacterium. RNAcentral describes it as "bacterial SSU rRNA". It matches the Rfam family "Bacterial small subunit ribosomal RNA", at positions 28 to 796 of the family's 1533-position model. The record is from RNAcentral.